GACGGGGGAUGCAAGUGUUAUCCGGAAUCACUGGGCGUAAAGCGUCUGCAGGUGGUUUCCUAAGUCCACUGUUAAACCUUGAGGCUCAACCUCAAAUCUGCAUUGGAAACUAGGAGACUUGAGUAUAGUAGGGGUAGAGGGAAUUUCCAGUGGAGCGGUGAGAUGCGUAGAUAUUGGAAAGAACACCGAUGGCGAAGGCACUCUACUGGGCUAUUACUGACACUCAGAGACGAAAGCUAGGGGAGCAAAUGGG
This 253-nucleotide ribosomal RNA is filed under the name uncultured bacterium. RNAcentral describes it as "partial 16S ribosomal RNA". It matches the Rfam family "Bacterial small subunit ribosomal RNA", at positions 524 to 776 of the family's 1533-position model. The record is from RNAcentral.